AUUGAACGCUGGCGGCAUGCCUUACACAUGCAAGUCGAACGGUAACGCGGGGCAACCUGGCGACGAGUGGCGAACGGGUGAGUAAUGCACCGGAACGUGCCCAGUAGUGGGGGAUAGCCCGGCGAAAGCCGGAUUAAUACCGCAUACGACCUACGGGUGCAAGGUGGGGAUCGCCAGACCUCUCGCUACUGGAGCGGCCGAUGUCAGAUUAGGUAGUUGGAGGGGUAAAGGCCCACUAAGCCUUCGAUCUGUAGCUGGUCUGAGAGGACGACCAGCCACACUGGGACUGGAACACGGCCCAGACUCCUACGGGAGGCAGCAGUGGGGAAGUUUGGUCAAUGGGCGCAAGCCUGGUCCAGCCAUGCCGCGUGCGGGAAGAAGGCCUUCGGGUUGUAAGCCGCUUUUGUCAGGGAAGAAACGCUCUGGGCUAAUACCUCGGGGUAAUGACGGUACCUGAGGAAUAAGCACCGGCUAACUACGUGCCAGCAGCCGCCGCGG
RNAcentral lists this ribosomal RNA (498 nucleotides) under uncultured bacterium. RNAcentral describes it as "partial 16S ribosomal RNA". It matches the Rfam family "Bacterial small subunit ribosomal RNA", at positions 28 to 523 of the family's 1533-position model. The record is from RNAcentral.